This 73-nucleotide transfer RNA is filed under the name Belonepterygion fasciolatum (barred spiny basslet). RNAcentral describes it as "tRNA-Val". It matches the Rfam family "tRNA". Rfam says of the family: Transfer RNA (tRNA) molecules are approximately 80 nucleotides in length. The record is from RNAcentral. Lineage: Eukaryota; Metazoa; Chordata; Actinopteri; Plesiopidae.
CAGAAUGUAGCUAAGAAAGACAAAGCAUCCCCCUUACACUGGGAAGUCCCCCGUGCAAUUCGGGUCACUCUGA